This 328-nucleotide unclassified non-coding RNA is filed under the name soil metagenome. Its description in RNAcentral is "partial contains 5.8S ribosomal RNA, internal transcribed spacer 2, and large subunit ribosomal RNA". The stretch from base 1 to 119 matches the Rfam family "5.8S ribosomal RNA", at positions 35 to 154 of the family's 154-position model. The record is from RNAcentral.
GAUGAAGAACGUAGCGAAAUGCGAUAAGUAGUGUGAAUUGCAGAAUUCAGUGAAUCAUCGAAUCUUUGAACGCACAUUGCGCCCCCUGGUAUUCCGGGGGCAUGCCUGUUCGAGCGUCAUUACAACCCUCAAGCUCUGCUUGGUAUUGGGCCCCGCCAGUUCUGGCGGGCCCUAAAGUCAGUGGCGGUGCCUUCCGGCUCCGAGCGUAGUAAUUCUUCUCGCUCUGGAGACCCGGUUGUGUGCUUGCCAACAACCCCCAAUUUUUUAAGGUUGACCUCGGAUCAGGUAGGGAUACCCGCUGAACUUAAGCAUAUCAAUAAGCGGAGGA